GUGUCAGCCGCCGCGGUAAUACGAAGGGUGCAAGCGUUACUCGGAAUUACUGGGCGUAAAGCGUGCGUAGGUGGUUUGUUAAGUCUGAUGUGAAAGCCCUGGGCUCAACCUGGGAAUGGCAUUGGAAACUGGCUUACUAGAGUGCGGUAGAGGGUAGCGGAAUUCCCGGUGUAGCAGUGAAAUGCGUAGAUAUCGGGAGGAACAUCCGUGGCGAAGGCGGCUACCUGGACCAGCACUGACACUGAGGCACGAAAGCGUGGGGAGCAAACAGGAUUAGAAACCCGCGUAGUCC
RNAcentral lists this ribosomal RNA (292 nucleotides) under uncultured bacterium. RNAcentral's name for it is "partial 16S ribosomal RNA". It matches the Rfam family "Bacterial small subunit ribosomal RNA", at positions 505 to 796 of the family's 1533-position model. The record is from RNAcentral.